RNAcentral lists this ribosomal RNA (450 nucleotides) under uncultured euryarchaeote. RNAcentral describes it as "bacterial SSU rRNA". It matches the Rfam family "Archaeal small subunit ribosomal RNA", at positions 453 to 903 of the family's 1478-position model. Lineage: Archaea; Methanobacteriati; Methanobacteriota. The record is from RNAcentral.
CGGUGCCAGCCGCCGCGGUAAUACCGGCGCCUCAAGUGGUAGUCGCUUUUAUUGGGCCUAAAACGUCCGUAGCCGGUUUGGUACAUUCGUGGGUAAAUCAACACGCUCAACGAGUUGAAUUCUGCGAGGACGGCCAGACUUGGGACCGGGAGAGGUGUGGGGUACUCUCAGGGUAGGGGUAAAAUCCUGUCAUCCUGAGAGGACCACCUGUUGCGAAGGCGCCACACUAGAACGGAUCCGACGGUCAGGGACGAAGCCUAGGGGCACGAACCGGAUUAGAUACCCGGGUAGUCCUAGGUGUAAACGCUGUGGACUUGAUGUUGGAGGAGCUCCGAGCUCUUUCAGUGUCGAAGCGAAGGUGAUAAGUCCACUGCCUGGGAAGUACGGUCGCAAGGCUGAAACUUAAAGGAAUUGGCGGGGGAGCACCGCAACCUGAGGAUUGUGCGGUUU